Molecule: ribosomal RNA, 899 nt
Filed under: Colletotrichum fioriniae
Lineage: Eukaryota; Fungi; Ascomycota; Sordariomycetes; Glomerellales; Glomerellaceae
Description: LSU rRNA
Rfam family: Eukaryotic large subunit ribosomal RNA
Source: RNAcentral
UUAGCAUAUCAAUAAGCGGAGGAAAAGAAACCAACAGGGAUUGCCCCAGUAACGGCGAGUGAAGCGGCAACAGCUCAAAUUUGAAAUCUGGCCCCAGGCCCGAGUUGUAAUUUGCAGAGGAUGCUUUUGGCGCGGUGCCUUCCGAGUUCCCUGGAACGGGACGCCAUAGAGGGUGAGAGCCCCGUACGGUUGGACACCAAGCCUUUGUAAAGCUCCUUCGACGAGUCGAGUAGUUUGGGAAUGCUGCUCUAAAUGGGAGGUACAUUUCUUCUAAAGCUAAAUAUUGGCCAGAGACCGAUAGCGCACAAGUAGAGUGAUCGAAAGAUGAAAAGCACUUUGAAAAGAGGGUUAAACAGCACGUGAAAUUGUUAAAAGGGAAGCGCUUGUGACCAGACUUGCGUCCGGUGAAUCACCCAGCUCUCGCGGCUGGGGCACUUCGCCGGCACAGGCCAGCAUCAGCUUGCCGUCGGGGACAAAAGCUUCAGGAACGUAGCUCCUCUCGGGGAGUGUUAUAGCCUGUUGUAUAAUACCCUUCGGCGGGCUGAGGUACGCGCUCCGCAAGGAUGCUGGCGUAAUGGUCAUCAGCGACCCGUCUUGAAACACGGACCAAGGAGUCAACCUUAUGUGCGAGUGUUUGGGUGUUAAACCCCUACGCGUAAUGAAAGUGAACGCAGGUGAGAGCUUCGGCGCAUCAUCGACCGAUCCUGAUGUUCUCGGAUGGAUUUGAGUAAGAGCAUAUAGGGUUGGACCCGAAAGAAGGUGAACUAUGCGUGUGUAGGGUGAAGCCAGAGGAAACUCUGGUGGAGGCUCGCAGCGGUUCUGACGUGCAAAUCGAUCGUCAAACAUGCGCAUGGGGGCGAAAGACUAAUCGAACCUUCUAGUAGCUGGUUUCCGCCGAA